AGCAUCCUGGCAAUGGGUAAGAGACACCUUGUUGGUGGUGUUCUUAUAUAAGUCAGGGGCAGAGUGGAUGGCAGUCUUUUGUUCAUCCUAGCUUGAUCUCUGGGAUGGUGGCCAAAGCUGUUUUAUGCCUAGCAUAUAAAA
Mus musculus (house mouse) is the source of this 141-nucleotide non-coding RNA. The record is from Rfam. NCBI's taxonomy places the organism in Eukaryota, Metazoa, Chordata, Mammalia, Rodentia, Muridae.